UUUCACUUUUCUGUUCUUGUUAUCUUCGGUAUCAACAAGAAGUCAAGAGCAACACCCUCAAUGGCACGGGCAACCAUGGUACCCACCCUUUUGGUGCUGCUUCUGGCCAUUUGCUGUGCAACCACCGUCGUCCAUGGCAAGGAGUGGACCGUUGGUGACAACAAGGGAUGGAGCUUCGGCGUGUCCGGAUGGGAGAGUGGCAAGCACAUCCAGUCCGGCGACAUGCUUGUACAACCCGAGUAUGCACAAUGUGGUGCAGGUGGGAGAAGGCGACUACAACUCAUGCAGGGUCUCGGGCCCGUCGAGGACCUACACCUCUGGCAAUGACCACAUCCAGCUCUCCCGCGGAGGCAAAGCGUUCUUCAUCUGCAGCCUUCCGGGUCACUGCCAGCAAGGCAUGAAGAUCGCUGUCACUGCUUAAUAGAUCUCGCGCAUAUGCGUGUCUUUGUAUUUGUACCUUUUUACCAAGUCUUUAUGGUGUGCUAGCUCAUGAUGAAUUGGUGACAGAAGAAAUAAAUUAAUCCUAGUGUAGUGUCUGCAUCAUGUUUUCAUGGAAUCUUGAUAAACCAACAUCUAUUUGGAC
Molecule: long non-coding RNA, 583 nt
Organism: Aegilops tauschii subsp. strangulata
Lineage: Eukaryota; Viridiplantae; Streptophyta; Magnoliopsida; Poales; Poaceae
Source: RefSeq, a predicted model, not a curated record